UGAAGGCGGCUGUGCCCGAAAGGGAACCGGAACACAGGUGCUGCAUGGCUGUCGUCAGCUCGUGUCGUGAGAUGUUGGGUUAAGUCCCGCAACGAGCGCAACCCUUGUCCCUAGUUGCUACGCAAGGGCACUCUAGGGAGACUGCCGGUGACAAACCGGAGGAAGGUGGGGAUGACGUCAAGUCCUCAUGGCCCUUAUGGGUAGGGCUUCACACGUCAUACAAUGGACGGUACAGAGGGUUGCCAACCCGCGAGGGGGAGCCAAUCCCUAGAAAGCCGUUCGUAGUCCGGAUCGCAGUCUGCAACUCGACUGCGUGAAGUCGGAAUCGCUAGUAAUCGCGGAUCAGCAUGUCGCGGUGAAUACGUUCCCGGGUCUUGUACACACCGCCCGUCACACCAUGGGAGCGGGAUGUACCAGAAGUAGGUAGGCUAACCGCAAGGGGGCCGCUUACCACGGUGCGUUUCGUGACUGGGGUGAAGUCGUAACAAGGUAGCCGU
RNAcentral lists this ribosomal RNA (497 nucleotides) under uncultured beta proteobacterium. Its description in RNAcentral is "bacterial SSU rRNA". It matches the Rfam family "Bacterial small subunit ribosomal RNA", at positions 1002 to 1503 of the family's 1533-position model. Lineage: Bacteria; Pseudomonadati; Pseudomonadota; Betaproteobacteria. The record is from RNAcentral.